CACUCUUUGUUGAGCCGUUUCAGAGGGGGCUCCUGCAUUCAUGCUGCACAGGAGAAGCUGUUCAGCACAACACCUUUCCCUGGAGCAGAUGGAGCAAACUGUCUGUGAAAUGAAUUGUAUGUAGGAGGAAGAAACUGAAAUUAUUUCUAAUGGGCAGAGAUCACACUUUUAUGUAAUGCAGCUCCCUCUCAAUUCAGCUGAAGUAACAGGUGACCUGAGGGGAUCCCUGCAGGAUGCAGAUUGACAUCUUUGUGAUGAUAUCCUUCAAAUCUUCUGACCUUAGAGAUUCUAAGAAAAUGUAAGGAGAUUUAUUUUUGGCCAUCUAAUCCAAGUCCCCCACUGAUGAAGGAAAUUGAGAUGCAGCCCAUCCAGGGCAGAUGGCUGUUCAAUCUCUGCUGAAAGGCCUCCUCCAAAAGCGAUUACACUACUCCUCAAGGUAAUUGCUCUCAGCGUCAAGCUUCUCUAAUCAUCAAGAGAGUCUCUGGAUGUUCAGCCAAACUCUACCUUCGUAUGACAUAAACCAGAUGCAUCUAAUCCUGUCUUUGAGCAGCAAAGCACAUAUAUUUUUCCCUUUUGUAUGACAGCUAUUUAUGUACUUGACAAGGACUUGUAAUACAAUAAGAUUAUUCUAGAUUAAAAGGAAAAAUGGGGAGGAGACAUUAUUAAAUAGGAUAUGAUUAAAUUAAAAGGCGAUGAAAUUUGAGGAGAUAGUAAGGCAAUAAUCUAAAGAUGAAGUUACAAAAAUGUAUAAGAAUUGAAAUUUUAGUCAAGAUGGAUACAUUGUUGACACAAAUAUUACUCCUGGUUAUGCAUUGAUUUUAAAUAUAUUGGUUUAUAUUUAACAGAAGCUGAAAUGCAACUAAGUAGAAAAAGAGCCAUAUCUAUUAGUUGCUUUUGCUUGAAGAGAGGGAAAAGUCAACUGUGUUUUUAAUGUUUGUUGUUGUUUGUAUUUUAAAUAUUUCACUGUUCUAUUUUAUUGUUUAAAAUGGGGAUAGAAGGUAGUUGUUGAUCUGUUUUGGUAGGGAUGGGGGAAAAUAUAUGGUGGGAUAUUAUGUGUUUUUUUGUUUUAGAGUUUAGAUUGGUUGUUUAUAUUCUUAAUUGACUGUGAAAAUAUAAUUUUUUAAAAGAAAAGUACUUAUGAUUCUCCAUGGUUUUUCUCUUUUUGUGGGUUCAACACACUCAUUUUGUUGUUGUUAUGUGCCUUCAAGUUGACUUUAACAUGUGACAACCUUAACAUAGAGUUUUCUUCACAGGAUUUUUAAAGAUGGAAUUUGCUGUUGCCUUCCUCUUAGGCUGAAAGAGUGUGACUUGCAUAAGGUCACCCAAAAUAUUUCCAUAUCUGAAUAAGGACCUGUAAUCCGGUCUACUCACGCAACUCUCAAAUUACUAUUUCACGCUGGUUCUAAAACAAGUAUACAGCAUCAUUAUGUCAGUUCUGAUAGCUGCACUUACAAAAACAGUUACUCUCAUCUCUCUGGCAGAGAUAAAGAGAUACUCACAGGAACACCUCAGCAAGCAAGAAUCCAAAAGUGGCAGGCUAAUACCUGGAACCUCAAUCAGUGGCUGACGCCAGAUGAGAGACUCCCUCCUGGGCACACAGAAGAUUGGGUGACUUGGAAGGCACUGAACAGACUGCGCUCGGGCACCACGAGAUACAGAGCCAACCUUAAGAAAUGGGGCUACAAAGUGGAGUCCACGACACGCAAGUGUGGAGAGGAGCAAACGACAGACUACCUAUUACAAUGCAGCCUGAGCUUUGCCACAUGCACAAUGGGUGAUCUCCUUACAUGACACCAGAGGCACUCCAAGUGGUCAGCUACUGGUCAAACAAUAUUUAGUAUAAUGCCAAGUUUUUAAAAACUUAGUUUGUGUUUUCAAAUACAUUACAACUUGUACCCUCAGUUCGCUUCUGACACGAUAAAUAAAUAAAAUCUCUCUGGCAAAUUUAAUUCCCUCUAGGAACAGAUCCUUUGCAAGACUACUGGGUUCUGCACAAUCAAAAUUCAGCUAUCCCAAAAUAAUCUUUUCAACAUUGAUAGUGUGUAACAAUACCUUGCAGCUAGGUAAACCAUUUGUCAUCAUUUGCUUUGGGGAUUGCAGUUAAUCUCAGAACAUGGGGUGGACAAAUGGGGUCUUGCUCCUACCAAAAUCCUAUGCCUCCAACCUUGUGAGACCUGACUGCUUGCUAAAUAGGCCCACUCGUUUUUCAUAUCUUUUUAUAUUUACUGACUGAUCAAUCAUUUUCAAAUUGUCUUGGGAAAAAUGAAACACAUAAUAUACAUGGGAGUUGUGUAUAGAAAUUGGAGAAUGUGUGCAUUGGCAUAGCAGAAAUGUCCCUCUGAAAGUGCAUAUAGAAUUGUGUGAGACCUGGAAUUCUCAUUGAGCUUUUGCCACAAACUGACCUAACAGAAGCAGCCUAUUAAUUCAUAAGGUAGUAAGCCAACCCGAGAAGAAAAAUGGAAGUAGAUUUGUUCAACUUGUAACAAAAGUUCUGUCUCAUAACCAUGGGCUACUUUUCCAAAUUUAGAAAGAUGGAGAAAAUGUCAGAUACCACAUUUCAGACAAUCAUAAAGAAACUGUGCCAUUUCCUGACUAGGAAGAGCUGGCUCAGAUCUACUGGCAAAGAAGAUUUAAGGACCUUCCAAGCUUAUUGGAAAUUUGAUCAUCCAACUUCUGCACACCAAAGGGAAAGCUGAAAGACAUCAAAAUAGAAAAAAAUAAUGUUCAAGAUAGAAUGUGGGGAACUGAUUCAGCUUCCAUUGUUCUGGAAAAAUUAAAACAUCCCUUUACUGCUUUGGUUUAAUGCCUGUAAAUGGACUGAUGAGUUGAAAGACAAUUUUAUUUAUGGCUUCAUUAAUCCAUUCAAUUUACUGUAUUAGACAUUUUAGAAGAAAUUGUUACCAUGGGGCCUACAAAUAUAACAAGUCAAAUAUUUUGGAAGUCUAAGAAAUGAACAUAAGAUCAACAUAAAAAGUAUCCUAACCAAAAGGCACUAAAAUGUAACUGGGAACAACUAUUUUAAAAAAUUCUUAAACAGAUAUAAAAACUACUUGCUGGUUAGAGUAGACAACACAUUUACAGCUUCUGUGUAUAAAAUAGACUUUCUGAUGCUGAAAAUAUAUUACUGGAGGAACCAGGUUAUCUUUUUCCAUUGGGGGCAUUCCAUAACUAUGAAGCUACCACUGAAAAGACCUGAUCAUGAUGUGUUUACUGACAAAGACAAAGACUUUAUCCAUAACAUGGUUUAGUUUAGCCAGAUGCAGAACCAGCAGGACAGGAUGAAGGAAGAUCACUUCUAGAAACACCAGAUGUCACUUUUGUAUUUCAGCUCCAAACCAGAGACAGUUCUAAGUCCCCUCUUAAAAUAAACAAAAGAUCCAUGAAAUCUUCUGCCUAUGCAAUUGACACAAAAGACACCAGGUGUCAUCAGGAAACUAGACAUUUUGUUCCCUACGACAAAAUAGGGCCCCCUUUCAUUCCACACAUAGAAAGAAGUUGGAUGUACUGGCAGCCUAAUCUUGCAUCACUACUGGCAAUAUGGGUAUGUCCUUCCAGCACAUUUAAGAGCAACAGAUUGAUGGUGUUUUUAUAUUACACAAUUAUUCCAUUAGCCCCUGGUGGUGCAAUGGGUUAAGCUCUUGUGCCGGCAAGACUGCUGACUUGAAGGUUGGGUUGCCGACCUGAGGGUUGCCAGUUCAAAUGCAGGGAGAGCAUGGAUGAGCUCCCUCUGUCAGCUCCAGCUCCCCAUGCGGGGACAUGAGAGAAGCCUCCCACAAGGAUGGUAAAACAUCACAAACAUCCAGGCAUUCCCUGGGCAAUAUCCUUGCAGAUGGCCAAUUGUCUCACAUCAGAAGCAACUUGCAGUUUUUCAAGUUGCUCCUGAUAUACACAAAGAAAAUGGCAGUCAAAGUGGGAUUAUAGUGCUAAAAUCCUGUAGUGUGAAAAGGUUCAAGUUUAGCAGGGAGGAUGCACAUCAGAAUGUAGAGAACAGAGACAGGU
Long non-coding RNA from Anolis carolinensis (green anole), 3999 nucleotides. RefSeq lists it as uncharacterized. Lineage: Eukaryota; Metazoa; Chordata; Lepidosauria; Squamata; Anolidae. The record is from RefSeq and is a predicted model, not a curated record. The transcript is spliced from 3 exons.